Long non-coding RNA from Medicago truncatula (barrel medic), 318 nucleotides. RefSeq lists it as uncharacterized. Lineage: Eukaryota; Viridiplantae; Streptophyta; Magnoliopsida; Fabales; Fabaceae. The record is from RefSeq and is a predicted model, not a curated record. The transcript has 3 exons.
UUGUGUAAGAUGAUGAUAUAUGCAAUGAUUUUCAAUGUUUUUUCUUUCUCCACCAUGUUUUGAUCUGUAGCUUUAUUUUACAAAUUGCAGAUUUUGUUGAUGGAAAUGUGGAUUUGGGGAUAUGCAGCUGGAAGGGUUGGUUCUAUCCAGAAAGUUGCAGAUAGGCUUCGUUGUUACACUUGGUCAUGACUUCUUCAUCUCACUUCAAAAUUGCAAAAGGAGGUUUAUGCGGUGGUGGUUGUUGCAAGAAGGCCCUCGCGGUGAUAAUUUAUACGGUGGUGGUUGAUUAUACUGAUGUGAAUGUGUCUUAGAUAUCCC